CCUGGCUCAGAUGAAYGCUGGCGGCAGGCCUAACACAUGCAAGUCGAGCGGUAACAGAYCUAGCYUGCUAGAUGCUGACGAGCGGCGGACGGGUGAGUAAUGCAUAGGAAUCUGCCCUGUAGUGGGGGAUAACCUGGGGAAACCCAGGCUAAUACCGCAUACGUCCUACGGGAGAAAGGGGGCUUUGGCUCCCGCUACGGGAUGAGCCUAUGUCGGAUUAGCUAGUUGGUGAGGUAACGGCUCACCAAGGCGACGAUCCGUAGCUGGUCUGAGAGGAUGAUCAGCCACAUCGGGACUGAGACACGGCCCGAACUCCUACGGGAGGCAGCAGUGGGGAAUAUUGGACAAUGGGGGGAACCCUGAUCCAGCCAUGCCGCGUGUGUGAAGAAGGCCUUCGGGUUGUAAAGCACUUUCAGCGAGGAAGAACGCCUAGUGGUUAAUACCCAUUAGGAAAGACAUCACUCGCAGAAGAAGCACCGGCUAACUCCGUGCCAGCAGCCGCGGUAAUA
This 509-nucleotide ribosomal RNA is filed under the name Vreelandella boliviensis. RNAcentral describes it as "bacterial SSU rRNA". The record is from RNAcentral. Lineage: Bacteria; Pseudomonadati; Pseudomonadota; Gammaproteobacteria; Oceanospirillales; Halomonadaceae.